Molecule: ribosomal RNA, 253 nt
Filed under: uncultured bacterium
Lineage: Bacteria
Description: partial 16S ribosomal RNA
Rfam family: Bacterial small subunit ribosomal RNA
Source: RNAcentral
UACAGAGGUCUCAAGCGUUAAUCGGAAUUACUGGGCGUAAAGCGUGCGCAGGCGGUUUGUUAAGCCAGAUGUGAAAGCCCCGGGCUCAACCUGGGAACUGCGUUUGGGACUGGCAAGCUAGAGUACGGCAGAGGGGGGUGGAAUUCCACGUGUAGCAGUGAAAUGCGUAGAUAUGUGGAGGAACACCGAUGGCGAAGGCAGCCCCCUGGGCCGAUACUGACGCUCAGGCACGAAAGCAUGGGGAGCGAACAGG